This is a long non-coding RNA of Brassica oleracea var. oleracea, 810 nucleotides long. RefSeq lists it as uncharacterized. NCBI's taxonomy places the organism in Eukaryota, Viridiplantae, Streptophyta, Magnoliopsida, Brassicales, Brassicaceae. The transcript is spliced from 4 exons. The record is from RefSeq and is a predicted model, not a curated record.
CAUAAUAUAAUAAGCUUGGUUAUGGUGGAUUUGGUGAAGUUUACAAGAUAUAGUAUUUGUUCCACGUACUAUUUAUGUUACAUAGUUUGUACAAAACAGAUUCCGGUAGUUAAAUCAAGAAGAUCAAACGAAUUGGCAGGGAACGUUUCCAAGUGCAACACAAGUUGCUCUGAAGAGGCUGACUAAAACGUCAGGACAAGGUGAAGAAGAGUUCAUGAACGAGGUGUUUCUUGUAGCUAAGCUUCAACAUAAGAUCUUGUUAGGCUUCUUGGGUUUUCUAUCAAAGGAGAAGAAAAGAUACUAGUCUACGAGUUCUUGCCUAACAAAAGUCUCGAUCACUUCCAUUUUGUCUUCCAGACCCGAAGAAGAAUAGUCAACUGGAUUGGUCAAAACGAUACAACAUUAUCGAGGGAAUUACUUAUGAAGAUUUGAACCCGAAGAUUCCAGAUUUUGGUGUGACUAGAAAAAUCGGUGUGGACCAAACUGAAGCUACCACAGGAAGAGUGGUUGGGACAUUCGGAUACAUGCCACCAGAGUAUGUGACAAGUGGACAGUUCUCGACAAAAUCUGAUGUGUAUAGCUUUGGAAUAUUGGUUUUGUAGAUUAUUGGUGGAGAAAAGAAUAGUAGCUUCAACGAGAUAGACGGCUCAGUAAGCAACUUGGUCACAUAUAUUAGUAAAAUUCCGAAUGCCAUCUCAAACUUUCCUACUUGUUUUGGCAAUGAUAGUGGCGAUUAACAUUAUUUGAAUUUAUCCCACUGAUAAAGCUUCUUCAAUUUAUCCGUCAAAAGGCAAAUACCAUAUACUUUUG